AUUGAACGCUGGCGGCAUGCCUUACACAUGCAAGUCGAACGGUAACAGGUCUUCGGAUGCUGACGAGUGGCGAACGGGUGAGUAAUACAUCGGAACGUGCCUAGUAGUGGGGGAUAACUACUCGAAAGAGUGGCUAAUACCGCAUGAGAUCUACGGAUGAAAGCAGGGGAUCGCAAGACCAUGUGCUGCUAAAGCGGACGACGACAGAUUAGGUUGUUGGUGAGAUAAAAACUUACCAAGCCGACGAUCUGUAGCUGGUCUGAGAGGACGAUCAGCCACACUGGGACUGAGACACGGCCCAGACUCCUACGGGAGGCAGCAGUGGGGAAUUUUGGACAAUGGGCGCAAGCCUGAUCCAGCAAUGCCGCGUGCAGGAUGAACGCCUUCGGGUUGUAAACUGCUUUUGUACGGAACGAAAAGCCCUGGGUUAAUACCCUGGGGUCAUGACGGUACCGUAAGAAUAAGCACCGGCUAACUACGUGCCAGCCGCCGCGGUAA
RNAcentral lists this ribosomal RNA (498 nucleotides) under uncultured bacterium. Its description in RNAcentral is "partial 16S ribosomal RNA". It matches the Rfam family "Bacterial small subunit ribosomal RNA", at positions 30 to 523 of the family's 1533-position model. The record is from RNAcentral.